ACAGCAGUCGCCGCGGUAAUACAGAGGGUGCGAGCGUUAAUCGGAUUUACUGGGCGUAAAGCGUGCGUAGGCGGCUUCUUAAGUCGGAUGUGAAAUCCCUGAGCUUAACUUAGGAAUUGCAUUCGAUACUGGGAAGCUAGAGUAUGGGAGAGGAUGGUAGAAUUCCAGGUGUAGCGGUGAAAUGCGUAGAGAUCUGGAGGAAUACCGAUGGCGAAGGCAGCCAUCUGGCCUAAUACUGACGCUGAGGUACGAAAGCAUGGGGAGCAAACAGGAUUAGAGACCCCUGUAGUCCCUGUCUCUUAUAC
This 305-nucleotide ribosomal RNA is filed under the name uncultured bacterium. RNAcentral's name for it is "partial 16S ribosomal RNA". It matches the Rfam family "Bacterial small subunit ribosomal RNA", at positions 508 to 807 of the family's 1533-position model. The record is from RNAcentral.